Pelobates cultripes (western spadefoot toad) is the source of this 210-nucleotide non-coding RNA. NCBI's taxonomy places the organism in Eukaryota, Metazoa, Chordata, Amphibia, Anura, Pelobatidae. The record is from the annotation of a GenBank genome assembly.
CUCCUGGUAUGAAAACCAAUUGAGGCAGAGCCCUCCGUAAACUCGGACAGGGAUUGCAAUCUCUAGAAGAGUAUGCAUUGGAGUUCUAUUCACUUGCUCCAGCAAUUAGGUGGAACAAUGAAGCCUUGUCGGGUGUUUUCAUGUAAAGCUUGUAAUUAGUUAUCCAAGAUGAGGUAGCUGCUAGGGAUCUCCCUAAGGAUCUAAAAGACC